GAUGAAGAACGCAGCGAAAUGCGAUACGUAAUGUGAAUUGCAGAAUUCAGUGAAUCAUCGAGUCUUUGAACGCACAUUGCGCCCCCUGGUAUUCCGGGGGGCAUGCCUGUCCGAGCGUCAUUGCUGCCCUCAAGCACGGCUUGUGUGUUGGGCCUCCGUCCUCCUCCCGGGGGACGGGCCCGAAAGGCAGCGGCGGCACCGCGUCCGGUCCUCGAGCGUAUGGGGCUUCGUCACCCGCUCUUGUAGGCCCGGCCGGCGCUUGCCGACACAUCAAUCUUUUUUCCAGGUUGACCUCAAAUCAGGUAGGACUACCCGCUGAACUUAAGCAUAUCAAUAAGCGGAGGA
Molecule: unclassified non-coding RNA, 345 nt
Filed under: soil metagenome
Description: partial contains 5.8S ribosomal RNA, internal transcribed spacer 2, and large subunit ribosomal RNA
Rfam family: 5.8S ribosomal RNA (bases 1-120)
Source: RNAcentral